This is a long non-coding RNA of Centruroides sculpturatus (bark scorpion), 286 nucleotides long. RefSeq lists it as uncharacterized. The record is from RefSeq and is a predicted model, not a curated record. The transcript has 2 exons. NCBI's taxonomy places the organism in Eukaryota, Metazoa, Arthropoda, Arachnida, Scorpiones, Buthidae.
GUAUCAAAAAGUUAAUUUGAUAUUGUAAUUUUAGAUUAAUAUGUUUUGUUUUUAGUCAAAUCACAUUGACCUCUCCAUAUAUCAGGUUGUCAUAUCAGACACACCAUGGAGAAAGUUGUAUGGUGAAUAUUUAAAAUUUUUCAAAUUCAUUAUUCAUAACAUUUCAAAUUAUUUCACAUUCUAGCUCAACCAAAAACUAAACCCUCAAAAUCUCACAGUGACUCUACAUCAUCUAGUCAAGAACAAGCAGAUAUUUUAGACAAUGUAGAUGUUCCUUCACAAAUAG